GAGUGAAGUGGUGGAGAGGGACGCUCGUGCCACCCCGGGUCCUCCUACCGUCUCUAUCAUGGUAACCCCUUCUCUGCCGCUGCACCUCCCAGUGGCCCGAGUCCAGGUGCCUUAGUUACUGGACAGAGACCCCGGGUUCCUUAGUUACUGGACAGAGAGUGCUGCGCUUCAGGUGCCAUGGCCUCAGUUUCCUCCUUUCUGAAGUGAUGAAAAUACAUUGUGCGCCUCCAAGUGCUUCACACGCACUAGGUCCUAGUCCUAACUAGGGCCUCAUGAUCAUUCAGUGGGUGUCCUGCAGUGACCUGGUUGUUGGGAGGGACAGCCUCCUCCCUCUCCAGCCCAUUCCCCUUCUUCGCUGGUCAAAUUGACAACGGCAAGAUCGAGAACAGCUCAUUGGCACACCAGAUGGAAGCCAACACUGAGGAUGGAGGAGAAACAAGACACAGGGAGCCAGCUAGACACUGGAUGGCUUCGUGAAAGAGGCUCCGUGCCAGCUGAGAUUUUAUUACAAAAUCACUCUUGGGAUGCUGCUUCCCAUCGAUGGAUUCUGUUUUCCACUCCUCUUGGCAUCUAAGUGUGGCCUUGUGAUUGGUUCUCACCAAUGGGAUGGGAUGGAAGCGAUACAGGCCUCUUCCGAGCCAAUGCUCUUAAGAAACAUGUAUGUUGGCCAGGCACGGUGGCUCACGCCUAUAAUCACAGCACUUUGGGAGGCCGAGACGGGAGGAUCAGCUGAGUCCAGGAGUUCGAGACCAGCCUGGCCAACAUGGCGAAACUCCAUCUCUACUAAAAGUACAAAAAUUAGCCAGGCGUGGUGGGCGCUUAUAAUCCCAGCUACUCCGGAGGCUGAGGCAGGAGAAUUGCUUGAACCUAGGAGGCAAAGGUUGCAGUGAGCCGAGAUCCCACCACUGCACUUCAGUAUGGGCAAAAGAGUGAGACUCCAUCUCAAAAAAAAAAAAGAAACAUCUGCCUGCUUCCUGCUCUUUCAAGGCCCUAAAGAAAGAGGGGAGCCCCAAGAAACCUGGGUCCCUGAAUGACCACCUUGUGGAAAUACAUCCUGUCACCUAACAUCUAUCCUAGAUUGCUACAUGAUCAAGAAAUACACAUCUAACUUGUACACCCAAUGCUCAUAGCAGCAUUAUUCACAAUAGCCAAGAGGUGGAAGCAACCCAGUGUCCAUUGACAGAUGAGCGAAUAAACAAAAUGUGGCACAUAAAUGCAAUGGAAUAGACCAGACGCGGUGGCUCACAUCUGUAAUCCCAGCACUUUGGGAGGCCAAGGCGGGCGAAUCACCUGAGGUCAAGAGUUUGAAACCAGCCUGGCCAACAUAGUGAAACCCUGUCUCUACUAAAAAUACAAAAAAUUAGCCAGGCGUGGUGGCGGGCGCCUGUAGUCCCAGCUACUUGGGAGGCUGAGGCAGGAGAAUCACUUGAACCCAGAGGCGCAGGCUGCAUUGAGCCAAGAUCAUGCC
RNAcentral lists this long non-coding RNA (1468 nucleotides) under Homo sapiens (human). Its description in RNAcentral is "HSALNT0262575". Lineage: Eukaryota; Metazoa; Chordata; Mammalia; Primates; Hominidae. The record is from RNAcentral.